Molecule: ribosomal RNA, 484 nt
Filed under: uncultured bacterium
Lineage: Bacteria
Description: partial 16S ribosomal RNA
Rfam family: Bacterial small subunit ribosomal RNA
Source: RNAcentral
AGUGAACGCUGGCGGCAGGCCUAACACAUGCAAGUCGAGCGGCAGCGCGGGGGCAACCCUCGCGGCGAGCGGCGGACGGGCGAGGAAUUCGUCGGUAUCUGCCUUUCUGUGGGGGAUAACGUAGGGAAACUUACGCUAAUACCGCAUACGUCCUACGGGAGAAAGUGAGGGACCACAAGGCCUCACGCAGUUAGAUGAGUCGACGACGGAUUAGCUAGUUGGUGGGGUAAAGGCCUACCAAGGCGACGAUCGGUAGCUGGUCUGAGAGGAUGAUCAGCCACACUGGAACUGAGACACGGCCCAGACUCCUACGGGAGGCAGCAGUGGGGAAUAUUGGACAAUGGGCGCAAGCCUGAUCCAGCCAUGCCGCGUGUGUGAAGAAGGCCUUCGGGUUGUAAAGCACUUCUGUCCGGAAAGAAAACCCGUGUGCUAAUACCUUCGGGGGAUGACGGUACCUAAAGAAUAAGCACCGGCUAACUUCGUG